RNAcentral lists this transfer RNA (72 nucleotides) under Roseibium marinum. RNAcentral's name for it is "Labrenzia marina tRNA-Arg". It matches the Rfam family "tRNA", at positions 15 to 71 of the family's 71-position model. Rfam says of the family: Transfer RNA (tRNA) molecules are approximately 80 nucleotides in length. Their secondary structure includes four short double-helical elements and three loops (D, anti-codon, and T loops). Lineage: Bacteria; Pseudomonadati; Pseudomonadota; Alphaproteobacteria; Hyphomicrobiales; Stappiaceae. The record is from RNAcentral.
ACGGCUUGAUUUCAUCCCAAGAGCACCGGACUCCUAACCCGGAGGUUGCGGGUUCGAAUCCCGUCGGGCGUA